GCCACGUAAUGCCACGUCCCCGCGCAUGCGCAUUUCGACAAGUGGUGGAGGCUGUUUCCGGGCUUAGGGGGCUGGAGCUGCAGCCGAGUAAGAGGCGGUGGUGGCGGCGGCCGGAGAGCGCUGAGUGCGGGCUUGGGGGCCAGGCCCUGCGGAGGACAGGGGAAGUUAUCUUUUCUUUCCCGACGGGGCCGGUGGAGCCGGUGGCUGAGCGGCAAGAUGAAUUUCCUCCGCGGGGUUAUGGGGGGUCAGAGUGCCGGACCCCAGCACACAGAAGCCGAGACGAUUCAAAAGCUUUGUGAUAGAGUAGCUUCAUCUACUUUACUGGAUGAUCGAAGAAAUGCUGUGCGUGCUCUCAAAUCAUUAUCUAAGAAAUAUCGCUUGGAAGUGGGUAUUCAAGCUAUGGAACAUCUUAUCCAUGUUUUACAAACAGAUCGUUCGGAUUCUGAAAUAAUAGGUUAUGCUUUGGACACACUAUAUAAUAUAAUAUCUAAUGAUGAAGAAGAAGAAGUAGAAGAGAACUCCACAAGACAGAGUGAGGAUUUGGGAAGCCAGUUUACAGAAAUUUUCAUUAAGCAGCAAGAAAAUGUCACUCUUCUGUUAUCUUUAUUAGAGGAGUUUGAUUUCCACGUCCGCUGGCCUGGUGUGAAGCUUCUUACUUCUCUUUUAAAACAACUAGGGCCUCAAGUGCAGCAAAUUAUUUUAGUCAGUCCUAUGGGUGUUUCAAGGUUGAUGGACUUGUUAGCAGAUUCCAGGGAAGUUAUACGUAAUGAUGGCGUCUUACUACUACAGGCACUAACAAGAAGCAAUGGAGCAAUCCAGAAAAUUGUUGCUUUUGAAAAUGCUUUUGAGAGACUACUGGACAUUAUUACCGAGGAGGGGAACAGUGAUGGAGGUAUAGUAGUGGAAGAUUGUCUGAUUUUGCUUCAAAACCUGUUAAAAAACAACAAUUCCAAUCAAAAUUUUUUUAAAGAAGGCUCAUAUAUUCAGCGUAUGAAACCUUGGUUUGAAGUUGGAGAUGAAAAUUCAGGCUGGUCCGCACAGAAAGUGACUAAUCUGCACCUAAUGCUACAGCUUGUUCGUGUACUGGUUUCUCCAAACAACCCUCCCGGUGCUACCAGUAGCUGCCAAAAAGCUAUGUUCCAGUGUGGCUUACUGCAGCAGCUUUGCACUAUCCUAAUGGCCACUGGAGUUCCUGCUGAUAUCCUGACUGAGACCAUUAAUACUGUAUCAGAAGUUAUUCGAGGCUGCCAAGUAAACCAAGACUACUUUGCUUCUGUAAAUGCACCUUCAAACCCACCAAGACCAGCCAUUGUAGUACUUCUUAUGUCCAUGGUUAACGAAAGGCAGCCAUUUGUAUUGCGCUGUGCUGUUCUCUACUGUUUCCAGUGUUUCUUAUAUAAAAAUCAGAAAGGACAAGGAGAAAUUGUGUCAACACUUCUACCUUCCACUAUUGAUGCAACAGGUAAUUCAGUCUCAGCUGGUCAGUUGUUAUGCGGAGGUUUAUUUUCUACUGAUUCACUUUCAAACUGGUGUGCUGCUGUGGCCCUUGCCCAUGCUUUGCAAGAAAAUGCUACCCAGAAAGAACAAUUGCUCAGGGUUCAACUUGCUACAAGUAUUGGCAACCCUCCAGUUUCUUUAUUGCAACAGUGCACCAACAUCCUUUCACAGGGUGAUAAGAUCGACCGACGGGGAAGCAAAAUACAGACAAGAGUUGGAUUACUAAUGUUGCUUUGUACCUGGCUUAGCAACUGCCCCAUUGCAGUAACACAUUUUCUUCACAAUUCAGCCAAUGUUCCCUUUCUUACAGGACAAAUUGCAGAAAAUCUUGGAGAGGAAGAACAGUUGGUCCAAGGCUUAUGUGCUCUUCUGUUGGGCAUUUCGAUUUACUUCAAUGAUAACUCACUUGAGAGCUAUAUGAAAGAGAAACUAAAACAACUGAUAGAGAAGAGGAUUGGCAAAGAGAAUUUCAUAGAGAAACUAGGAUUUAUUAGCAAACAUGAGUUGUAUUCCAGAGCAUCUCAGAAACCCCAGCCAAACUUCCCCAGUCCAGAAUACAUGAUAUUUGAUCAUGAGUUUACAAAGCUGGUAAAAGAACUUGAAGGUGUGAUAACUAAGGCUAUUUAUAAGUCCAGUGAAGAAGAUAAAAAAGAAGAAGAGGUGAAGAAAACACUAGAGCAGCAUGACAGUAUUGUGACUCACUACAAAAAUAUGAUUCGAGAGCAAGAUCUGCAACUUGAGGAAUUGAAGCAGCAGAUUUCUACGUUAAAAUGUCAAAACGAACAGCUCCAGACAGCAGUCACACAGCAAGUAUCUCAGAUUCAGCAACACAAGGAUCAGUAUAAUCUUCUUAAAGUACAGCUAGGAAAAGACAAUCAGCAUCAAGGUUCUUACAGUGAUGGGGCUCAGAUGAAUGGUAUUCAGCCAGAAGAAGUUGGUAGGUUGCGAGAAGAGAUAGAAGAAUUAAAAAGUAAUCAGGAACUUUUACAAAGCCAACUGGCUGAAAAGGACUCUUUCAUUGAAAAUUUGAAAUCGUCCCAACCAUCACCUGGCACAAAUGAACAGUCUUCAGCAACAGCUUCAGCAAGAGAUUCUGAACAAAUUGCAGAAUUAAAACAGGAACUGGCAACAUUAAAGUCUCAGUUAAACUCACAGUCUUCGGAGAUCACCAAACUACAGACAGAAAAGCAAGAGCUGUUACAGAAAACAGAAGCAUUUGCAAAAUCAGUUCCUGUACCAGGAGAGAGUGAAACUGUAAUAGCUACAAAAACUACUGAUGUAGAAGGAAGACUGUCAGCAUUAUUACAAGAAACUAAAGAAUUAAAGAAUGAAAUUAAAGCUCUGUCUGAGGAAAGAACUGCUAUUAAAGAGCAUCUGGAUUCAUCUAACAGUACCAUUGCCAUUUUACAAAAUGAGAAGAACAAGCUUGAGGUGGACAUUGCAGACUCUAAGAAAGAACAAGAUGAUCUCUUGGUGCUGUUGGCUGAUCAGGAUCAGAAAAUAUUUUCAUUAAAGAAUAAACUCAAGGAACUUGGUCAUCCAGUUGAAGAAGAGGAUGAACUUGAAUCCGGAGACCAAGAUGAUGAGGAUGAUGAAGAUGAAGAUGACGGCAAGGAACAGGGUCAUAUCUAGCUUUACAAUCUCUAGGAAUGAUAGGGGUUACAUUGUAACUUUGAAGACGGAGUCUUAAGACAGUGCUUUGGUUUGCCUCCACAGAAAGUAAAGAUUUAGAAACCAAGUGGCAGACAUUCACUAAUACAACUAUUGAUGUAUUUUUAAAAUGAAGCCGCCACCCAUGUUGAUAAUCCUGUUAUCCUAACUUUAUGUAGAACACACAUCUUUUAUCGAACUGAACUAUCCCAAAAUAUAAUUUGCAAAGAGCUUCAGACACCAAAAAUAUAAUAUUUUCAGGCAUGUGGUGGCAAUGCUCUUUGCCUUUUAGUUCAUUGGUUGUUUAUAUAAGUUCUGUAUUUGUCUGCUAUUUUUACUUUUCAGAAUUUGUGACUUUAAAUACUAACACGAUUGAUUUAAUGUGUGUUGGAAUCAUUGUUUCUAAAUUCAGUAUUGGAGUUCUUAGCUAAUGAUUUCCUUUUAAAGGAAUGGAUUUACUUAAAGGCAAGAUAGCAUUAUUCUGGGGGAUAAUAUAUCAUCAGCCCUCCAUCCAAUGUGACCCCUAAGAUGAGUAGGAUAGGACAGUUUAGAAUGAGUGCCUUGACACUUGAUAUGGCUGCAUUCUGUACCUCAGUGAAGAAGAAGGAUAUUAGCACACAGUGAAGAGGAUGGUGUUUCUGAGAAACUUCUGCAACAGUGUAUCAGCAUGUGUUUGGUUUUGGUUUUAUUUUUAAGCUAAACAUUAAAACAAAUUACAAGUUAACAGCUCAUACAGCUCAGAAUUAGUAUUACUGUUUGAUUAUUAUAAAACAUAUUAUGUUCCUAGUUUUAAAAAGAUCCAAACUAUGGUUUAUAUAAUUUAUUGGCAUUUUUGCUGAAUAGGUUUAAGUCAGAUAAUAGAUUUUUAAAAAGCAAUGAAGCAAUGUGUCAAAAUUUAAUGUUUUCGUAAUAAAAAUAGAUAUUAUGUUCACUUAAUCCCUGGUCAUGGUUCCCUUUUUUAGAUUUUGAGAGUAGUAGUCUUGGUACAAGAUGAGGCAGAAGGAAGGGUGAGAGGAGUCCUUCUCUUACUAAAAGGACUUUGCUAUAACUGCGUGAUAACAGCAAUCUUAUCAUUUAAAGCUAAUAAUAAGGAUUCCAUAAGAUUGGAGAGGGCUAAUUGGAGCAAAAGCAGAAGUUGGAGAAGGGUUUGGAUGUUUCUAAAUUGAGCAUUGGAGUUCUUUCUUCACAAUGAUUUCUAUUUAAAGAAGUAGGCUUUCUUAAAGGCAAGACAGCAAGAGUUGGGGCAUUAUGUAUAUCAUCUGCCUCCUGGCUUCAGGAAUAAUUUGAGCAGUCUACUAAGGGGCACAGAUUUUGAAAGAAGUAUCUUCACAUGUCUUGAAAGGGGAGAUGGCUGUGUGUUACAGAGCACCCGUGAAUACUGCACCGCGCCCCUGCCUAAUCCCACCGCUGCCACGCCAUCCUGAGAUGGCAUCUGCCGUCAGAGAACCACAUGAUUAUUACUGGACCAGCUCAGACCGUGUGAAGUUUUCCUAAACUUGACACCACGUAGUGAACAUUUCAGGCUAAUGUUACAAGGAUAAGGAAAAAUGUGUCAGGAGUAAGAAUAAUACUUCCAGAAAUAAUGGAAUACCAAAGAUCUUCAGAAAGAAACAUCUGCAAAAUCAGUGAUAGUUUGCCAAAGUUCAGUCACUCAGGCUGGCUUGGAGUAGAGAAGACACAAGAAGGCCUCGAAGCUGCGCAGUCCAGCCUGGAGCCCAAACGGACACCUUCCUAACAUAGCUAUAGUUUUUUUUGGGUUUUGUUUGUUGGUCUGUCUUUGCCUGGAUUGCUUCUGGAGCCUCCUAAACUGGUCUCUGCGCCUCCAGUUGGUUGCUGCCUCUGCAGGCCAUCCUCCAUAUUCACCACAAUAAGCUUUCUGAAAUGCAGAUAGGAGCCAAAGAGAUCGCAGUUGCCUCCUGUUUGGAGCCCUUAGCCAUGUGGAAACAUGAGAUCACUUUGAAUUAUGUUUUUCUACCAUGAGAAUGUAAACAACUUCUUAAACCAGGAAGGUGUGAACCGGAGGGCUGUGGAGUAGCCGUCUACACCAGAUACGGAACAGAGAGGUGGAGAAAGUUCACUGCAGAGAGGAAUGAAGCAGAAGCAAGGUGGGGUGGGAAUGAGACAGGGGUUGAAGGACAGCCCUAACAGCCAGUACGCCAGUAGCCUCCAUCCUAUCACACUGUUUUAUUCACUUUGUAACACCAAUCACUGUCUACAAAUGUUUGUGUCUCUACACCUCCAAGAAUGAAAGUAAGCCCUGUGAGGGCAGGAAAAUUGUCUUGUUCAUCUCUGAAUCCCAGUGCCUAGAUCAAUGCUUGACAUAUAGAGGGCAGUCCAUAAAUACUGACUAGAUAAAUGAAUUCUAUUUACUUGUUCGUAUUCAAAUUAGAAAUCUGAGAACGUCUGUCCCAUUGUUUCAAAGAUGUCAAUAUCUGCUUUGAGUAAUUACAGAUUUAGCAGAAUUA
Molecule: RNA transcript, 5612 nt
Organism: Eubalaena glacialis (North Atlantic right whale)
Lineage: Eukaryota; Metazoa; Chordata; Mammalia; Artiodactyla; Balaenidae
Gene: USO1
Gene name: USO1 vesicle transport factor
Exons: 27
Source: RefSeq, a predicted model, not a curated record